AUGUAAUCUUUUUACAUAAUUUAGUAAUUACAAUUUGAGGGACCUGACUGAUAACCCAGGCAGAAAGCCCAGAGAGUUUAAUUUGCAAACCCUAAAUUUAACCCUGUUAUUUUUCAAGACACUAUAAAUCCUGUUUGCAUAGGGGGUACUGUUGUACUCGGGAGACUUUGCGCAGCACAAAUAUAAAGUGUUUCAAAGCAAU
Molecule: non-coding RNA, 202 nt
Organism: Pelobates cultripes (western spadefoot toad)
Lineage: Eukaryota; Metazoa; Chordata; Amphibia; Anura; Pelobatidae
Source: the annotation of a GenBank genome assembly